GGCUCAGAACGAACGCUGGCGGCGUGCUUAACACAUGCAAGUCGAACGGGAAACGUUCCUUCGGGAACCGAGUACAGUGGCGCACGGGUGAGUAACACGUAGGUGACCUACCUAUCGCUGGGGAACAACCCCGGGAAACCGGAGCUAAUUCCGCAUACGCUUUCCAACUCGCGGGUUGGAAAGGAAAGAUGGCCUCUUCAUGAAAGCUAUCGGCGAAUGAUGGGCCUGCGCGUCAUUAGCUUGUUGGUGAGGUAACGGCUCACCAAGGCUGCGAUGACUAGCUGGUCUGAGAGGAUGAUCAGCCACACUGGCACUGGAACACGGGCCAGACUCCUACGGGAGGCAGCAGUGGGGAAUAUUGCGCAAUGGGCGAAAGCCUGACGCAGCAACGCCGCGUGAGUGACGAAGGCCUUCGGGUCGUAAAGCUCUGUCGAGAGGGACGAAACACCGGUGGGAACAAUACCUCGCCGGUUUGACGGUACCUCCAAAGGAAGCACCGGCUAACUCCGUGCCAGCAGCCGCGGUAAUACGGAGGGUGCAAGCGUUGUUCGGAAUUACUGGGCGUAAAGGGCGUGUAGGCGGAUCAAGAAGUCGGGUGUGAAAGCCCUGGGCUCAACCCAGGAAGUGCGCCCGAAACCAUUGGUCUUGAGUUCCAGAGGGGAGCGGGGAAUUCCCAGUGUAGAGGUGAAAUUCGUAGAUCUUGGGAAGAACACCGGUGCCGAAGGGGCCGCUCUGGAUGGAUACUGACGCUGAGGCGCGAAAGCGUGGGGAGCAAACAGGAUUAGAUACCCUGGUAGUCCAC
This 802-nucleotide ribosomal RNA is filed under the name uncultured organism. RNAcentral describes it as "bacterial SSU rRNA". It matches the Rfam family "Bacterial small subunit ribosomal RNA", at positions 21 to 798 of the family's 1533-position model. The record is from RNAcentral.